This 89-nucleotide transfer RNA is filed under the name Nocardioides daphniae. RNAcentral's name for it is "tRNA-Ala". The record is from RNAcentral. Lineage: Bacteria; Bacillati; Actinomycetota; Actinomycetes; Propionibacteriales; Nocardioidaceae.
CGCCGACGUAGUCGAUGGCGGCGGCGGCGUUGCGGGCCGCCUCGUGCAGCGCGGCGCGGGUCUCGUCGCUCAGGCCGGGGGCCGGGGCC